This 455-nucleotide ribosomal RNA is filed under the name uncultured Polaromonas sp. Its description in RNAcentral is "bacterial SSU rRNA". It matches the Rfam family "Bacterial small subunit ribosomal RNA", at positions 925 to 1382 of the family's 1533-position model. Lineage: Bacteria; Pseudomonadati; Pseudomonadota; Betaproteobacteria; Burkholderiales; Comamonadaceae. The record is from RNAcentral.
ACAAGCAGCGGAGCGUGUGGUUUAAUUCGAUGCUACACGAAGAACCUUACCAGGGUUUGACAUACAAGUAGUAGGGAAAGGAAACUGGACCGACCUUCGGGGAGCUUGUACAGGUGCUGCAUGGCUGUCGUCAGCUCGUGUCGUGAGAUGUUGGGUUAAGUCCCGCAACGAGCGCAACCCUUGUCAUUAGUUGCUACAUUCAGUUGGGCACUCUAAUGAGACUGCCGGUGACAAACCGGAGGAAGGUGGGGAUGACGUCAAGUCCUCAUGGCCCUUAUAGGUGGGGCUACACACGUCAUACAAUGGAUGGUACAAAGGGUCGCCAACCCGCGAGGGGGAGCCAAUCCCAUAAAGCCAUUCGUAGUCCGGAUCGCAGUCUGCAACUCGACUGCGUGAAGUCGGAAUCGCUAGUAAUCGUGGAUCAGAAUGUCACGGUGAAUACGUUCCCGGGUCUU